RNAcentral lists this small RNA (160 nucleotides) under Crocodylus porosus (Australian saltwater crocodile). RNAcentral describes it as "TUC338 (ENSCPRG00005006967.1)". Lineage: Eukaryota; Metazoa; Chordata; Crocodylia; Crocodylidae. The record is from RNAcentral.
UUGACAGCUUGGAAACUCAAGUCCUCUAUUCACGGAGCAGCUCCGGAGCGGCCAGCGGCAGCAAAACUCCCUCGCGCUGCUCCUCAACCUUGACCUGGAGGAAUCACCUCUAGGGGCGAGACUGCCCUUGGCUGAUAUCCCCAUUCAUCCUUUGGCCUCU